This is a non-coding RNA of Drosophila suzukii, 800 nucleotides long. NCBI's taxonomy places the organism in Eukaryota, Metazoa, Arthropoda, Insecta, Diptera, Drosophilidae. The record is from RefSeq and is a predicted model, not a curated record.
AUGAUACUCUUAAUACAACACCUAUAUCUCAGUGUGGUUUUCACCUUGAUUAGUGCCAAAAGUCCACCCCAGUGUUGUUUACCACACAGCCAAGGAAUUACGACGGAAGAAGCUUUCUUCAUGUACACCUACAACUCCAAAAUAUAUGAAUGCAUCCCAUUUAUUUACUCGGGAUCUGGGGGAAAUAAUAAUCGCUUCUGGUCGAAAAGGGAUUGCGAGGAGACAUGUCUGGCAUCAAAUGAAGAGUGAAUGUGUUGCUUAACAUCUAUCGCGGAUCAAAAACCUAUUACAGAGCCAUCCACAAAACCACUCACCGUUUCCCAUCAAUAAAAAAUAUACAAAAAACUCUCUGGCGUCUGUCACAUUAGCACAUCAUUCAUAAGGACAUGUGCCAAUGGUUUUCAAAUAUGUUUUCCACCAACGGCAGGGAAAACAACGAGACCCAAAACGAGAACGACGAUGUCGACCUCCCAGGCGAAUUCGGAUUCGCAGGCUCGGCGAGAUUUGCGUUUGCCAAAAUGUCAAUAAACACCCGAUGGACGGACAGCGGUGAUAUUGACAUUUAUUUUUAUAUAUUUUAUUUCCAGCACCCGAAGCCCAGCGUUACUUUCUUAUUUGGUUUCAUUUCACAUGUCACAGGCGCGCUGACAAAACUUUAUGCGAAUUGGUCUCACAAUUUGAAAUAGUUUCAUAAAAAGCAAAUGCCAGGGGCUGGCCACCCACUUUCUCCCUCCCACCACACACCACCCACCGAAUCACCUCCCACCCAAUGCCAUUUCGCUUCCCGGGGUGCCUGCCAA